This 302-nucleotide ribosomal RNA is filed under the name uncultured Prevotella sp. RNAcentral describes it as "bacterial SSU rRNA". It matches the Rfam family "Bacterial small subunit ribosomal RNA", at positions 355 to 653 of the family's 1533-position model. The record is from RNAcentral. Lineage: Bacteria; Pseudomonadati; Bacteroidota; Bacteroidia; Bacteroidales; Prevotellaceae.
UGAGGAAUAUUGGGUCAAUGGGCGAGGGCCUGAACCAGCCAAGUAGCGUGCAGGAUGACGGCCCUAUGGGUUGUAAACUGCUUUUAUAAGGGAAUAAAGUGAGCCUCGUGAGGCUUUUUGCAUGUACCUUAUGAAUAAGGACCGGCUAAUUCCGUGCCAGCAGCCGCGGUAAUACGGAAGGUCCGGGCGUUAUCCGGAUUUAUUGGGUUUAAAGGGAGCGUAGGCCGGAGAUUAAGCGUGUUGUGAAAUGUAGGUGCUCAACAUCUGCACUGCAGCGCGAACUGGUUUCCUUGAGUACGCAC